This 468-nucleotide ribosomal RNA is filed under the name uncultured bacterium. RNAcentral's name for it is "partial 16S ribosomal RNA". It matches the Rfam family "Bacterial small subunit ribosomal RNA", at positions 28 to 507 of the family's 1533-position model. The record is from RNAcentral.
GACGAACGCUGGCUGCGUGCUUAACACAUGCAAGUCGAACGGAAAGGCCCUGCUUUUUUGGGGUACUCGAGUGGCGAAGGGGUGCGUAACACUUGAGUAACCUGCCCUUUACUUUGGGAUAACUUCAGGCAACUGGGGCUAAUACCGGUUAGUGGUUCCUUCUGCAUGGUGGGGGUUGGAAUGUUUCGGCGGUUGGGGAUGGACUCGCGGCUUAGCAGCUUGUUGGUGGGGUAGUGGCUUACCAAGGCUUUGACGGGUAGCCGGCCUGAGAGGGGGACCGGCCACAUUGGGACUGAGAUACGGCCCAGACUCCUACGGGAGGCAGCAGUGGGGAAUAUUGCACAAUGGGCGGAAGCCUGAUGCAGCAACGCCGCGUGCGGGAUGACGGCCUUCGGGUUGUAAACCGCUUUCGCCUGUGACGAAGCGUGAGUGACGGUAAUGGGUAAAGAAGCACCGGCUAACUACGUG